This 496-nucleotide ribosomal RNA is filed under the name uncultured bacterium. RNAcentral describes it as "partial 16S ribosomal RNA". It matches the Rfam family "Bacterial small subunit ribosomal RNA", at positions 30 to 523 of the family's 1533-position model. The record is from RNAcentral.
UUGAACGCUGGCGGCAGGCCUAACACAUGCAAGUCGAGCGCGAAAGGUUUUCGGACUGAGUAAAGCGGCGGACGGGUGAGUAACGCGUGGGAAUCUGCCCAGUAGUGGGGGACAACAGUCGGAAACGACUGCUAAUACCGCAUACGCCCUACGGGGGAAAGGGGGGGAUCUUCGGACCCCUCGCUAUUGGAUGAGCCCGCGUCGGAUUAGCUAGUUGGUAGGGUAAAGGCCUACCAAGGCUACGAUCCGUAACUGGUCUGAGAGGAUGAUCAGUCACACUGGAACUGAGACACGGUCCAGACUCCUACGGGAGGCAGCAGUGGGGAAUAUUGGACAAUGGGGGCAACCCUGAUCCAGCCAUGCCGCGUGUGUGAAGAAGGCCUUAGGGUUGUAAAGCACUUUCAGUGGGGAGAAAGGUUUGUCACCUAAUACGUGAUGAAAUUGAUGUUACCCACAGAAGAAGCACCGGCUAACUCCGUGCCAGCAGCCGCGGUAA